AGUGAACGCUGGCGGUAGGCCUAACACAUGCAAGUCGAACGGCAGCACAGUAAGAGCUUGCUCUUACGGGUGGCGAGUGGCGGACGGGUGAGGAAUACAUCGGAAUCUCCUUUUUCGUGGGGGAUAACGUAGGGAAACUUACGCUAAUACCGCAUACGACCUACGGGUGAAAGCAGGGGAUCUUCGGACCUUGCGCGAUUGAAUGAGCCGAUGUCGGAUUAGCUAGUUGGCGGGGUAAAGGCCCACCAAGGCGACGAUCCGUAGCUGGUCUGAGGGGAUGAUCAGCCACACUGGAACUGAGACACGGUCCAGACUCCUACGGGAGGCAGCAGUGGGGAAUAUUGGACAAUGGGCGCAAGCCUGAUCCAGCCAUACCGCGUGGGUGAAGAAGGCCUUCGGGUUGUAAAGCCCUUUUGUUGGGAAAGAAAAGCAGCAGGUUAAUACCCCGCUGUUCUGACGGUACCCAAAGAAUAAGCACCGGCUAACUUCGUG
This 492-nucleotide ribosomal RNA is filed under the name uncultured bacterium. RNAcentral's name for it is "partial 16S ribosomal RNA". It matches the Rfam family "Bacterial small subunit ribosomal RNA", at positions 29 to 507 of the family's 1533-position model. The record is from RNAcentral.